UACGGAGGGUGCAAGCGUUGUUCGGAGUUACUGGGCGUAAAGCGUGCGUAGGCGGUAGUCCAAGUCUGGUGUGAAAUCUCCCGGCUUAACUGGGAGGGUGCGCCGGAAACUGGGCUGCUGGAGUGCGGGAGAGGUAAGCGGAAUUCUCGGUGUAGAGGUGAAAUUCGUAGAUAUCGAGAGGAACACCGGUGGCGAAGGCGGCCUGCUGGACGAUGACUGACGCUGAGACGCGAAAGCGUGGGGAGCAAACAGG
RNAcentral lists this ribosomal RNA (253 nucleotides) under uncultured bacterium. RNAcentral describes it as "partial 16S ribosomal RNA". It matches the Rfam family "Bacterial small subunit ribosomal RNA", at positions 524 to 776 of the family's 1533-position model. The record is from RNAcentral.